RNAcentral lists this ribosomal RNA (3389 nucleotides) under human oral metagenome. RNAcentral's name for it is "bacterial LSU rRNA". It matches the Rfam family "Bacterial large subunit ribosomal RNA". The record is from RNAcentral.
GUAAGCUACUAAGAGUAAGUGGUGGAUGCCUUGGCUAGUAGAGGCGAUGAAAGACGUGCCAGGCUGCGAUAAGUCUCGGGGAGCCGUCAAGGGGCUUUGAUCCGGGAAUUUCUGAAUGGGGCAACCCAAUACAUAGCGAUAUGUGUUACCAUUAACGGAGCCAACGCGGGGAACUGAAACAUCUAAGUACCCGCAGGAAGAGAAAUCAAUAGAGAUUACGCCAGUAGCGGCGAGCGAACGCGUAAGAGGGCAAACCACUAGUUUACUAGUGGGGUUGUAGGACCGCAACAUAGACUAGGAUCUGAUAAUAGAACAAUCUGGAAAGGUUAGGCAUAGAGGGUGAUACUCCCGUAUAUGAAAUCACAUCCUUACUUAGCGGUAUCCUGAGUAGGACGGGACACGUGAAAUCCUGUCUGAAGCCGGGUCGACCACGAUCCAACCCUAAAUACUACUACUAGACCGAUAGCGUACAAGUACCGUGAGGGAAAGGUGAAAAGAACGGCGGUGAGCCGAGUGAAAUAGAACCUGAAACCGUUUGCUUACAAUCAUUCAGAGCACUAUGCUAUGCUCUUUAAAAUUAAUCCAGCUUGGCUUUUUAGCCCUUUUUUAUGAAACUGCGACUGCGGCAGCCGAAUCUGGCUAGCCUUGCCUUGUUUCAUAAAAAAUCAUCUAAAAAUCCUGCGCAUUUGAAAUUCUAAAUUUUAAAUCUAAUAAAAUUCAUCAUAAAUGACACAAGUAGAAUUUUAUGGUCUAAAUUUUAGAAGUAACGAUUAGCGAUUAGUUUUAAUGAGUAUAGCAGUGUGAUGGACUGCCUUUUGCAUAAUGAGCCUGCGAGUUGUGGUGUCUGGCGAGGUUAAGGAAACCCGGAGCCGUAGCGAAAGCGAGUCUUAAUAGGGCGAUUAGUCAGAUGCUGCAGACCCGAAACGAUGUGAUCUAUCCAUGAGCAGGUUGAAGCCGGUGUAAGAGCCGGUGGAGGACCCAACCGACGGCCGUUGAAAAGGCUCCGGAUGACUUGUGGAUAGGGGUGAAAGGCCAAUCAAACAUCGUGAUAGCUGGUUCUCUCCGAAAUAUAUUGAGGUAUAGCGUCGUGUAGUAGUUAUAAGGGGUAGAGCACUGAAUGGGCUAGGGCAUACACCAAUGUACCAAACCCUAUCAAACUCCGAAUACUUAUAGCGUAACCACGGCAGUCAGGCGGCGAGUGAUAAAAUCCGUCGUCAAGAGGGAAACAACCCGGACUAACAGCUAAGGUCCCCAAAUCUCAUUUAAGUGGAAAACGAUGUGAAGUUACUGAAACAACCAGGAGGUUGGCUUAGAAGCAGCCAUCCUUUAAAGAUAGCGUAAUAGCUCACUGGUCUAGUGAUUUUGCGCGGAAAAUAUAACGGGGCUAAAAUGAGUACCGAAGCUUUAGAUAGUGUCUAUGAUUAUUUAUACUAAGCUUGUCUCUUUGGCAUCUUUAAAUGAGCUUCAUUUUUUCUCCUGCGGCAACCUACACGGUUAGCCUUAGUCGAAAAAAUAUCAGCAACAUUUAAAUCUGCUCAAAGAUACUUCGCUUCUUACAUUAAAAUUUAAAUGCAAUGUCUUGAUUUAAAUUUUAGAAAUUUCAAAAUUUCUUAGAAUUUUAAAAUUUAGUAACAAAAGCAAAAAGAUAAGCCUAAGUAAAGUAUAAAUACUCAUAGACACUGUGGUAGGAGAGCGUUCCAAUCAGCGUCGAAGCCGUACCGGUAAGGAGCGGUGGAGCGGUUGGAAGUGAGCAUGCAGGCAUGAGUAGCGAUAAAAUACGUGAGAAUCGUAUUCGCCGUAAACCCAAGGUUUCCUACGCGAUGCUCGUCAUCGUAGGGUUAGUCGGGUCCUAAGCAAAGUCCGAAAGGGGUAUGCGAUGGAAAAUCGGUUAAUAUUCCGAUACCGAUAUCAGUGUGCGACGGAAGGACGCUUAAAGUUAGUGGAGCUAGCGGAUGGAAGUGCUAGUCUAAGGAAGUAGGUUGAGUUAUAGGCAAAUCCGUAACUCUUUAUCCGAGAUCUGAAAGGCUUCUGACGCUCUUCGGAGUAGAUGAAGAAUCCAUGAUACUAUCGAGCCGAGAAAAGUUUCUAAGUUUAGCUGAUAUCGCCCGUACCGUAAACCGACACAGGUGGGUGGGAUGAGUAUUCUAAGGCGCGUGGAAGAACUCUCUUUAAGGAACUCUGCAAAAUAGCACCGUAUCUUCGGUAUAAGGUGUGCCUAGCUUCGUUAAGAAUUUACUUCGUAAGCGAAGAAGGUUACAACAAAGAGUCCCUCCCGACUGUUUACCAUAAACACAGCACUCUGCUAACUCGUAAGAGGAUGUAUAGGGUGUGACGCCUGCCCGGUGCUCGAAGGUUAAUUGAUGAUGUUAGCUUAUGCAAAGCAUCUGAUCGAAGCCCGAGUAAACGGCGGCCGUAACUAUAACGGUCCUAAGGUAGCGAAAUUCCUUGUCGGUUAAAUACCGACCUGCAUGAAUGGCGUAACGAGAUGGGAGCUGUCUCAAAGAGGGAUCCAGUGAAAUUGUAGUGGAGGUGAAAAUUCCUCCUACCCGCGGCAAGACGGAAAGACCCCGUGGACCUUUACUAUAGCUUGACACUGCUACUUGGAUAAAGAUGCGCAGGAUAGGUGGGAGGCUUCGAUUCGUAGAUCUCGGUUUACGAUGAGCCAUUGUUGAGAUACCACUCUUCUUUAUUCGGGUAGCUAACUAGCCUAAGUUAUCCUUAGGUAGGACAAUGUCUGGUGGGUAGUUUGACUGGGGCGGUCGCCUCCCAAAAUGUAACGGAGGCUUACAAAGGUUGGCUCAAAGCGGUUGGAAAUCGCUUGCAGAGUAUAAAGGCAAAAGCCAGCUUAACUGCGAGACAUACACGUCGAGCAGAGACGAAAGUCGGUCUUAGUGAUCCGGUGGUUCUGUGUGGAAGGGCCAUCGCUCAAAGGAUAAAAGGUACCCCGGGGAUAACAGGCUGAUCUCCCCCAAGAGCUCACAUCGACGGGGAGGUUUGGCACCUCGAUGUCGGCUCAUCGCAUCCUGGGGCUGGAGCAGGUCCCAAGGGUAUGGCCGUUCGCCAUUUAAAGCGGUACGCGAGCUGGGUUCAGAACGUCGUGAGACAGUUCGGUCCCUAUCUGCCGUGGGCGUAAGAAGAUUGAGGAGAGUUGACCCUAGUACGAGAGGACCGGGUUGAACCGACCACUGGUGUACCGGUUGUUCUGCCAAGAGCACCGCCGGGUAGCUAAGUCGGGAUGCGAUAAGAGCUGAAAGCAUCUAAGCUCGAAGCCGACUCCAAGAUGAAUCUUCUUUUAAGAGCUCUAGUAGACUACUAGUUUGAUAGGCCGGAUGUGUAAUGGAUGAAAGUCCUUUAGCUGACCGGUACUAAUAGCUCGUUUGCUUAUCUUU